This is a long non-coding RNA of Rosa rugosa (rugosa rose), 2031 nucleotides long. RefSeq lists it as uncharacterized. The record is from RefSeq and is a predicted model, not a curated record. The transcript has 11 exons. NCBI's taxonomy places the organism in Eukaryota, Viridiplantae, Streptophyta, Magnoliopsida, Rosales, Rosaceae.
CAUUUAACAGUGAAAUGACGGUUUUGCCCUCUCUCUUUUCUUCAGUUGCAUCCCUGCCGUUCAAUCUGGGUUAAAAUGUCUAGAUAUUUUCUCUCGCUCUCGCUCUCUGCCCCGACAGCUGUACGUCUUAUGAGAAACAAUCUCGAGAGGGUUCAAGAACGAUCCAGAGAGUUGGGGUCUCUCUCUUUGAUCUGUGCGUGACCUACCUAACAUAACAAUCCAAAGAGAUCAAUUAUCAAGAACGAUUGAGAGAGAGAGAGAGAGAGAGAGAGAGAAAUAGGGUGUGUUUCUGUGAUGGAGAUCUUGAAAUUCACUGCUCCAAGGAGGGCUGAUGAGAGAGAAAAUGAAGGGUGGUGAUGUUGCUGAGCCCUUAAGCUCUUUAAAUCACUGGGUAAUUGAGGUUAGUCGAAGACAGACAAAGCACAACAUUUUUGGACAUCACGAUCUUCUUCAUUAUCAAAGGGAUUUCAAUAAACAAGAACAGUAGGUGGCAGUACUGCUUUGGACUCUAAUUUUGGAUUGUUGUUUUUUGUUUCCUUUGAUGCAGUUGUCCUUCUCUUGAGGAACAACGUUGACAAAAGGGAGGCAUUAGAUAACCUGGAUAUCAUACUUUUUCCUUUAUUUGAAGGCUUGAGAAAAGAGUGAACGAGGUCGAGCAGUAUUACUUGAGGAAAGGCAGUCUGCAACCAACCACUUCGAAGGAGAAAGACAGAGAUAAACAUUUUAAUACAAUUAAGAAGCAGCAGCAAGAUGCAUCACGUAGGGAAGCCGCUGCUGCAAAGAGGAUGCGAGAUCUGUUAAGUUUUCCGCAAUCUUCAAACAGGAAAUUGAAGCAAAUGAGAAGCAUUGAUAUCAACUCCAACUUGAGGAGGCUAUUAGUAACAUAGGUGCAUUUUCUCCCCCAGUAUUUGGUGGUUGUUACUUUGCAUUUCUUUUCCUUCUUGUACUCAUCAAUUGUUCUAUAGCUGGACCAGAACUUUCUGUUUUUGUCAAACUAUCAGUCUAUUGCGUGUAAAAUUCAUGAAAAAAGAACCAAACCCUUCCGCAGCAACGCGCGGACACUUUUUCUAGUACUAUAAUCUAAAGCCGAAUGACCUUGACUGUUCAUCCCUGUUCAUUAAACUGUUCCUAAGGGUGCGAAAUGACGGUAUUGCCCUCUAUUUUUUUCUGAAUUACCAUGCUGCCAUUUCCCCACAAUAUAUAAGCAAAAUCCUAAUUCUUUGUGUCUUCGGGAAGACUAUCAAGAUCGACAUUCACUGUUUCGCAGCAUCAAUCCGGAUUUGUUGCAGCAGAGGUAGAGAGAGAGAGAGAGAGAGAGAGAGACUGUGAGAGGAAAGAAGAAGUGAUCGAUCUGGAUUUAUUGCAGAAGAGAGAGAGAGGUAUCUGUGUCUGGAAUAGUUGCAGGUUGUAUGCCAAAGGCAAUUUCAAGCUUAUCCAUCACAAUCAGUCUCAGCAAAAGCUUGCUCCGAAGUUCAAGCUCUGUUACUAAUCUGAAUCUUGCUGAACCCUAAAGGCUCUCAUGCAUGUUAUUGGAACCUCAUCUCAGGUAUGACAAAUCUGCAACUUAUUGAUCACGGACACCAAAUAAGGGAUGAGACUGAUCAAGCCAUUGAUAGAGCACAAAGGUUCUUCAUCAGACUAUCAUCUGGGGACUAUGACAAUGCUUUUGGGGUUCUCUGCAGUAUAUGCAGGUUUUGAGGGUUCUCUGCAAUGUUGUUGCAAUUGCAUAACUUACUAUUCUUGAGCUGAACAUCACUCAAAAUUUCCACUCAUUCUCAAUGUCUAUAUAUAGUGAAUUGGGAUUUGUAUGUACAGUCCAUGGAUCUGCAGAUGAGUUUACUUCAGUUGAAGAUGCAUUUGAGUCUGCCAAUGAAUUAGAUCAGUGCUAAACCCCCAUUGUAGAAACUUGAUACCAGCUUGGUUAAAAUACCAGGUGUUAGCUGAACCUUUCUCUUUAUGAUUGAAACACCAGUUUUUGUAAUAUCUAAAAUUAUAAAUGUAUUAUGUUAUGUACAUCAAGAUUUGAGGAAA